CACUUCAUGACUGAGAGCAGAACAGAACACAAUCUUCAUCAUCACACAAGACACAACAACAACAAUGAACAACAUCAUCAUCCUCAUCUGGACUCUCACACUGUUUGCUCAAGAGUGUAGAGGACAGUACACUGUAACUCAGAGUCCAUCAUUAAUAACAGCAGCUCAAGGACAAGACGUCAGAAUAAAUUGUAAAACCAGCAGUAGAGUGUGUGAUGGUGAUGACUUAGCCUGGUACUUACAGAAACCUGGAGAAGCUCCUAAACUCCUCAUAUAUGAUGCAUCAACCCGUUACAUUGGAACUCCUUCUAGAUUCAGUGGCAGUGGAUCUGGCAGUGAUUUCACUCUGACCAUCAGUGGAGUCCAGACUGAAGAUACAGGAGAUUAUUACUGUCAGAGUCUACACUGUCCUAGUAGCUAUGUGUUCACACAGUGAUAAAGAGUCGUACAAAAACCUCCGUCAGUCAGAGUCACAGUGACUGCACUG
Molecule: non-coding RNA, 487 nt
Organism: Carassius carassius (crucian carp)
Lineage: Eukaryota; Metazoa; Chordata; Actinopteri; Cypriniformes; Cyprinidae
Source: the annotation of a RefSeq genome assembly